GAUGAACGCUGGCGGCGUGCCUAACACAUGCAAGUCGAACGAAGCUUGACGGAUGAUUUCUUCGGAAUGAAACCAGAUAUGACUUAGUGGCGGACGGGUGAGUAACACGUGAGCAACCUGCCUUUCAGAGGGGGAUAACGGCUGGAAACGGUCGCUAAUACCGCAUGAUGUGUUCGGAUGGCAUCAUCUGAACAUCAAAGAUUUAUCGCUGAAAGAUGGGCUCGCGUCUGAUUAGAUAGUUGGUGGGGUAACGGCCUACCAAGUCUACGAUCAGUAGCCGGACUGAGAGGUUGAACGGCCACAUUGGGACUGAGAUACGGCCCAGACUCCUACGGGAGGCAGCAGUGGGGAAUAUUGCACAAUGGGGGAAACCCUGAUGCAGCAACGCCGCGUGAAGGAUGACGGUUUUCGGAUUGUAAACGUCUUUUCUUAGUGACGAAGACAGUGACGGUAGCUAAGGAAUAAGCAUCGGCUAACUACGUG
RNAcentral lists this ribosomal RNA (483 nucleotides) under uncultured bacterium. RNAcentral's name for it is "partial 16S ribosomal RNA". It matches the Rfam family "Bacterial small subunit ribosomal RNA", at positions 28 to 507 of the family's 1533-position model. The record is from RNAcentral.